GCGAAAGCGCCUUGCUGGACUGAAACUGACGCUGAGGGACGAAAGCCAGGGGAGCAAAUGGGAUUAGAUACCCCAGUAGUCCUGGCCGUAAACGAUGGAUACUAGGUGUAGCGGGUAUCGACCCCUGCUGUGCCGCAGCUAACGCGAUAAGUAUCCCGCCUGGGGAGUACGCACGCAAGUGUGAAACUCAAAGGAAUUGACGGGGACCCGCACAAGCGGUGGAACAUGUGGUUUAAUUCGAAGCAACGCGAAGAACCUUACCAGGACUUGACAUCUGAGGAAUCUUUCAGAAAUGAGAGAGUGCCUUCGGGAACCUCAAGACAGGUGGUGCACGGUUGUCGUCAGCUCGUGUCGUGAGAUGUUGGGUUAAGUCCCGCAACGAGCGCAACCCUCGUUGUUAGUUGCCAGUAACGGCAUGCUGUUACUGUGCUCUCUAGCGAGACUGCCGGUGAUAAACCGGAGGAAGGUGGGGAUGACGUCAAAUCAUCAUGCCCCUUAUGUCCUGGGCUACACACGUGUUACAAUGGGUGGGACAACGAGCAGCCAGCCAGCGAUGGUGAGCAAAUCUCUUAAACCCACUCCCAGUUCGGAUCGCAGUCUGCAACCCGACUGCGUGAAGUCGGAAUCGCUAGUAACCGUAGAUCAGCACGCUGCGGUGAAUACGUUCCCGGGUCUUGUACACACCGCCCGUCACACCAUGGGAGCUGACCACGCCCGAAGUCGGUGAGCUAACUCUCUG
Molecule: ribosomal RNA, 739 nt
Filed under: uncultured organism
Description: bacterial SSU rRNA
Rfam family: Bacterial small subunit ribosomal RNA
Source: RNAcentral